Molecule: ribosomal RNA, 460 nt
Filed under: uncultured bacterium
Lineage: Bacteria
Description: partial 16S ribosomal RNA
Rfam family: Bacterial small subunit ribosomal RNA
Source: RNAcentral
CCUACGGGUGGCAGCAGUGAGGAAUAUUGGUCAAUGGACGAGAGUCUGAACCAGCCAAGUAGCGUGAAGGAUGACUGCCCUAUGGGUUGUAAACUUCUUUUAUAUGGGAAUAAAAUGUUCCACGUGUGGGAUUUUGUAUGUACCAUAUGAAUAAGGAUCGGCUAACUCCGUGCCAGCAGCCGCGGUAAUACGGAGGAUCCGAGCGUUAUCCGGAUUUAUUGGGUUUAAAGGGAGCGUAGGUGGAUUGUUAAGUCAGUUGUGAAAGUUUGCGGCUCAACCGUAAAAUUGCAGUUGAUACUGGCAGUCUUGAGUACAGUAGAGGUAGGCGGAAUUCGUGGUGUAGCGGUGAAAUGCUUAGAUAUCACGAAGAACUCCGAUUGCGAAGGCAGUUCACUAGACUGCAACUGACACUGAGGCUCGAAAGUGUGGGUAUCAAACAGGAUUAGAUACCCGAGUAGUC